UCCGAAAAGGUAUCACAUGCCA
Molecule: non-coding RNA, 22 nt
Filed under: Arabidopsis thaliana (thale cress)
Lineage: Eukaryota; Viridiplantae; Streptophyta; Magnoliopsida; Brassicales; Brassicaceae
Source: RNAcentral